Molecule: long non-coding RNA, 202 nt
Filed under: Lathyrus oleraceus (garden pea)
Lineage: Eukaryota; Viridiplantae; Streptophyta; Magnoliopsida; Fabales; Fabaceae
Description: Pisum sativum (pea) long non-coding RNA (PSAT_LNC001088)
Source: RNAcentral
ACAAAGAGAAAAAAAAUGAAUGAAAUAGGAAAUCAUUGAGAGAAAGUAAAAAAAGAGAAUUUUUUUUAUAACUCGAAGAUUCAAAAAGAAGCACGAAAAAGGGCAUUCGGUGGAAAAAUAGAAAAAAAAAAAGAAAACCGAGCAAACAAAAGAAACAAACACAGUAUGUAACAUCGACUCUGAACCAAAAACUCACUUGUUU